GCAUAUCAAUAAGCGGAGGAAAAGAAACCAACAGGGAUUGCCCUAGUAACGGCGAAGUGAAGCGGCAACAGCUCAAAUUUGAAAUCUGGCCCUAGCGGUCCGAGUUGUAAUUUGUAGAGGAUGCUUUUGGUUAGGUGCCUUCUGAGUUCCCUGGAACGGGACGCCAGAGAGGGUGAGAGCCCCGUACGGUUGGACACCGAGCCUCUAUACAGCUCCUUCGACGAGUCGAGUAGUUUGGGAAUGCUGCUCUAAAUGGGAGGUAAAUUUCUUCUAAAGCUAAAUACCGGCCAGAGACCGAUAGCGCACAAGUAGAGUGAUCGAAAGAUGAAAAGUACUUUGAAAAGAGGGUUAAAUAGCACGUGAAAUUGUUGAAAGGGAAGCGUUUGCGACCAGACUUUUUCCAGGCGGAUCAUCCGGUGUUCUCACCGGUGCACUUCGCCUGGUUUAGGCCAGCAUCGGUUUUCUUAGGGGGAUAAAGGCCUGGGGAACGUAGCUCCUUCGGGAGUGUUAUAGCCCCUAGCGUAAUACCCUUCGGGGGACCGAGGAACGCGCAUCUGCAAGGAUGCUGGCGUAAUGGUCGUCAACGACCCGUCUUGAAACACGGACCAAGGAGUCGAACAUUUGUGCGAGUGUUUGGGUGUUAAACCCUCACGCGUAAUGAAAGUGAACGGAGGUGAGAGCCCUUCGGGGUGCAUCAUCGACCGAUCCUGAUGUCUUCGGAUGGAUUUGAGUAAGAGCAUAACUGUUCGGACCCGAAAGAUGGUGAACUAUGCGUGGAUAGGGUGAAGCCAGAGGAAACUCUGGUGGAGGCUCGCAGCGGUUUCUGACGUGCAAAUCGAUCGUCAAAUCUGCGCAUGGGGGGCGAAAGACUUAUCGAACCAUCUAGUAGCUGGUUACCGC
This 900-nucleotide ribosomal RNA is filed under the name Daldinia novae-zelandiae. RNAcentral describes it as "LSU rRNA". It matches the Rfam family "Eukaryotic large subunit ribosomal RNA", at positions 38 to 961 of the family's 3401-position model. The record is from RNAcentral. Lineage: Eukaryota; Fungi; Ascomycota; Sordariomycetes; Xylariales; Hypoxylaceae.